GAGUUUGAUUCUGGCUCAGAUUGAACGCUGGCGGCAUGCUUUACACAUGCAAGUCGGACGGCAGCACAGAGAAGCUUGCUUCUUGGGUGGCGAGUGGCGAACGGGUGAGUAAUAUAUUGGAACGUACCGAGUAAUGGGGGAUAACUUGCCGAAAGGUAAGCUAAUACCGCAUACGCUCUGAGGAGGAAAGCAGGGGACCUUCGGGCCUUGCGUUAUUCGAGCGGCCAAUAUCUGAUUAGCUAGUUGGUGGGGUAAAGGCCUACCAAGGCGACGAUCAGUAGCGGGUCUGAGAGGAUGAUCCGCCACACUGGGACUGAGACACGGCCCAGACUCCUACGGGAGGCAGCAGUGGGGAAUUUUGGACAAUGGGCGCAAGCCUGAUCCAGCCAUGCCGCGUGUCUGAAGAAGGCCUUCGGGUUGUAAAGGACUUUUGUCAGGGAAGAAAAGGUUGUGGCUAAUAUCCAUGACUGAUGACCGUACCUAA
Molecule: ribosomal RNA, 484 nt
Filed under: Neisseria weaveri
Lineage: Bacteria; Pseudomonadati; Pseudomonadota; Betaproteobacteria; Neisseriales; Neisseriaceae
Description: bacterial SSU rRNA
Rfam family: Bacterial small subunit ribosomal RNA
Source: RNAcentral